Molecule: ribosomal RNA, 497 nt
Filed under: uncultured bacterium
Lineage: Bacteria
Description: partial 16S ribosomal RNA
Rfam family: Bacterial small subunit ribosomal RNA
Source: RNAcentral
GAUGAACGCUGGCGGCGUGCCUAAUACAUGCAAGUCGAGCGAACGGACGAGAAGCUUGCUUCUCUGAUGUUAGCGGCGGACGGGUGAGUAACACGUGGAUAACCUACCUAUAAGACUGGGAUAACUUCGGGAAACCGGAGCUAAUACCGGAUAAUAUUUUGAACCGCAUGGUUCAAAAGUGAAAGACGGUCUUGCUGUCACUUAUAGAUGGAUCCGCGCUGCAUUAGCUAGUUGGUAAGGUAACGGCUUACCAAGGCAACGAUGCAUAGCUGACCUGAGAGGGUGAUCAGCCACACUGGAACUGAGACACGGUCCAGACUCCUACGGGAGGCAGCAGUAGGGAAUCUUCCGCAAUGGGCGAAAGCCUGACGGAGCAACGCCGCGUGAGUGAUGAAGGUCUUCGGAUCGUAAAACUCUGUUAUUAGGGAAGAACAUAUGUGUAAGUAACUGUGCACAUCUUGACGGUACCUAAUCAGAAAGCCACGGCUAACUACGUG